GGCAUCAAAUUACAGUUACGAAUUUGUGGAGUUGCGGCUGAUAUGAAGGAAUAGUGGGAAAUAGGAACAAUAGACAUCGAUUGUGAUUGUAUAUGUUUGCUCAAGGAGUGUAGGUGUGAAUGUGUAUGUUUGCUCAGGGACCAUGUAGUCUUAAGUAAAUAAAUAAUGAAAGAAAGAGGCUGUUCUUCCUCUAACAAAGGGGCUAUUUAUAAAAAGGAUCGGAAACAUUCCAAUGUUACCUAGAGGGAGCACUAAAUCUCCUUGCUAAAGAAAACCAGAUGGUCGGCAAAGGACUGAUAAACUAAUAACAUGGGAAGCGAGAGUAGGCGGGUUUAGGUAAUGAAUAUGUAUAGGCGUUAAUUGAAUAUUAAUUGUUUUAAUGUAUACAUAUUUGAUGGUUCGUCACUUCUGGCAUGUACGCUUGCGGUGGAGUGAUCCCCCGUGCAUCUGCACGCAAUAAACACACUACUUUAUAACUUCCGUGUGAAGUUCUGUACGUCAUUUUGGUGAGCCAGGCAGGAGUAUUUCGGCUGCAGAGCUCAUGCUCCUAGGCGCGCCCCGGGAGAUUUCCUUGGAGGAGCCUCCUCUUCUCAGCUGGAUCCACGGAUAAAACGAAACUUUGGAGCGUUUGAUUUUCCGUGUAUAGCUUAAUUAUCCUGACGGAGUGCGAGUGCAAGGGCGUGGUGGAGACGUGCAUUUUGAUUUCCCGCGUAUAGCUGAAUUAUCCUGACGGAGCGCAAGCGCAAGGGCGUGGUGGAGACGAGCAUUUGAGCGCGAAACGACUGUAGAUGGACACUGAGAUCGCCCAGAUGACACAAGCAUUUCUGGAGGAUGCAAAAUCCAGUAAUGCCAAACAAGGUGCCAGUCAAGACGUGGAAGCUAGUUCAUGUGUGUGGAAGACAAGGAGAUGCUUUGAAGAGAGGUUCAAGAAGCACAAAUGUUGCGUGUGUGUUUUUCUGCUAGUUGUGCUGGUGCUGGUGCUUUCCUUCAUCACUAAAUGCAGACUUCCAUCUGGUGCAGAACCUGCGACGUGCCCCAGGGGCUGGAUAGGUUACAGAGAUAAAUGUUAUUCCAUCUCAGAGGACCAAAAAAACUGGACGUCUAGUCAGACCACCUGUGUGGAGCGUGGAUCCUCGCUAGCUGUUUUUGAAAGCCUGGAUGAACUGGUAAUGAGGCAAGAACCCAACAACAAUACAGACUACAACUUCUGUAUCUCCCUCUUUCCUUGA
This 1229-nucleotide long non-coding RNA is filed under the name Falco tinnunculus (common kestrel). RNAcentral's name for it is "lncRNA (ENSFTIG00000010798.1)". Lineage: Eukaryota; Metazoa; Chordata; Aves; Falconiformes; Falconidae. The record is from RNAcentral.